This 468-nucleotide ribosomal RNA is filed under the name uncultured bacterium. RNAcentral describes it as "partial 16S ribosomal RNA". It matches the Rfam family "Bacterial small subunit ribosomal RNA", at positions 28 to 507 of the family's 1533-position model. The record is from RNAcentral.
GAUGAACGCUGGCGGCGUGCUUAACACAUGCAAGUCGAACGGUGAAGGCGGAGCUUGCUCUGCUGGAUCAGUGGCGAACGGGUGAGUAACACGUGAGCAAUCUGCCCCUGACUCUGGGAUAAGCGCUGGAAACGGCGUCUAAUACUGGAUACGAGCUGCGAAGGCAUCUUCAGCAGCUGGGAAGAAUUUCGGUCAGGGAUGAGCUCGCGGCCUAUCAGCUUGUUGGUGAGGUAAUGGCUCACCAAGGCGUCGACGGGUAGCCGGCCUGAGAGGGUGACCGGCCACACUGGGACUGAGACACGGCCCAGACUCCUACGGGAGGCAGCAGUGGGGAAUAUUGCACAAUGGGCGAAAGCCUGAUGCAGCAACGCCGCGUGAGGGACGACGGCCUUCGGGUUGUAAACCUCUUUUAGCAGGGAAGAAGCGAAAGUGACGGUACCUGCAGAAAAAGCGCCGGCUAACUACGUA